Molecule: ribosomal RNA, 628 nt
Filed under: uncultured fungus
Lineage: Eukaryota; Fungi
Description: eukaryotic LSU rRNA
Rfam family: 5.8S ribosomal RNA (bases 246-399)
Source: RNAcentral
AAGUCGUAACAAGGUUUCCGUAGGUGAACCUGCGGAAGGAUCAUUAUUGAAACUUCGCGGGGGAGAGGGCUUCGGCCCGCACCGGUGGCGACGCCGUGCUGCGGUCGGGUUCCCGCUCCCCCCUUCCAAACCCCACACACCUGUGAACCUUUGGGAGGGCGGUUGUAGUGACCGCGCUCCCGUUUUAAACAACUCUGACGUCUAUUUGAAUGUGAUUCGGGGCCGCCCCGAUUAAAAAUUGUAACAACUUUCAACAACGGAUCUCUUGGCUCUCGCAUCGAUGAAGAACGCAGCGAAAUGCGAUAAGUAAUGUGAAUUGCAGAAUUCAGUGAAUCAUCGAAUCUUUGAACGCACCUUGCGCCCCUUGGUAUUCCGAGGGGCAUGCCUGUUUGAGUGUCUUGAAACCAUCAAACCUAACCGGUCUUUGUUGGCCGGCGCGGUUUGGACUUGGGGGUCUCUUGCUGCCGUUCGCGGUGGCUCCCCUUAAAUUCAUCGGUCGGGCUUUCGUGCGGCUCUGUCCCUUGGCGUUGUAUUACCCUCGUCGCUGGACGGCUCGCGAUACAGUGCCCGACUUCGACCUGCCUAUGGAGUGGCGGUCUUCAACGCGAUUUUUGUGAUCUGACCUCAA